AGAAUGGAAGGCAACAGAUGUUUGUUGACUUCCUGCUCUAUAUCAGGCACUGUGCUAGAUACCAUACACACCAUCAACAUUUAGGACAGUAUGACAAAGGAGAAUGAAAGCUGUCUGUUGUAGAUAGGAUAUUUUCAGCCGUCAUCACCAUGGACUCUUUGAAAUGUACUACUUUAGAAAAGCCACAGUGACUCCCUCUGGGCCUCACCCACCUGAGAUGACAUCAGGAUGCAAAUCCAGGACUUACUCUCUUCAUACAGAUGGAAUGGUUCACUUGGCUUUUAGAGUGCAGACAAGCCAUUCAGUGGAGGCCGUGCCUCAGCCUGCACUCUUCUGACUCAUGACAUGACUUCUCCAUGGAGAGCCAGGAUUUUUCUCAAGUGUAACAAUAUUAAUUAUCAAGUCACUUUAAAACA
This 416-nucleotide long non-coding RNA is filed under the name Pongo abelii (Sumatran orangutan). Its description in RNAcentral is "lincRNA". The record is from RNAcentral. Lineage: Eukaryota; Metazoa; Chordata; Mammalia; Primates; Hominidae.